This is an RNA transcript of Eriocheir sinensis (Chinese mitten crab), 8335 nucleotides long. RefSeq lists it as uncharacterized. The transcript is spliced from 12 exons. The record is from RefSeq and is a predicted model, not a curated record. NCBI's taxonomy places the organism in Eukaryota, Metazoa, Arthropoda, Malacostraca, Decapoda, Varunidae.
CACCCCUCCCCAUAACUCCCCAGCAAUCUCCCCAACUUUAAUCAUCACCCCAACAUCCUCCCACUCCUCCUCCCUCUCCCCUCCCCAGAACACGCCUUUCUCCCCUCCUAUAUCCCCCCCUCUCCACCCCGUUGUCUCCCCUUCCUAUAAGCCACACUUCUCCCCACUCCAGCUCCUCCCCAAUCCUCCCAUCACCCCUCUCUCCCCACCCCUUAACGCUCCCCUCUCCCCACCACAUACCUCUCCCAUUUCCCCUUACACUAAUUCCCCUUCCCCUCCUUUACAGCCCCUUCCUCCUACCUCCCCGCCUUCUCCUCCCCACCAUAGGCAAAAUAACCCCUUCCUAACCUCCCCCGCUAACCCCCACCCCCCACGGGACAGCGAGGGGAACGUAGGAGUCACUGGGGACCUUAUCACCCUGGGGGACGAAGAUGAAGAGGAGAAGAUUAAAGAAGAUGAAAAUAUGAACCGAAUGGCGGACUACCCGAAUCAAAACGCCUCUAAACAGCGACUCGACACAGAUUUGAAGCUUCUAAGACCCCCGGAGAGCUUGACCAAGAGGCGGAGGAAGAGGAAGAGGAAGGGAAGACGACACGGAGAAGAGGAAGAGGAAGAGAAGGAAGAUAAAAGUCGUUUCUCUCUCUGUGAUGACCUCUCCUUCCCUAUGAUUGAUGACGUGACCGAUGACCUGACCACACGAAACCUUGACCCCCCAGACCCCCCUGAACCCCCUCCUCCUCCUCCAACUCCUCUUCCUCCUCCUCCUCCUCCUCCUCCUCCUCCUCCUGCUCCUCCAUCCUCACCCUCCUCCUCCUCCUCCAGUUCAUCCACUCCAACCGGCGACUCCUCCUCCUCUUCCUUUUCCCUCGAUGAUAUAGGGGAGGACGUGGCUGAGUUAGCGGAGCAGCUGUGUGACGCAACAAGCGAAGCCGGUCACCUCAUCACGAAGGAACUGAAGGAGGGGAUUCAUUACGUGACCCGACCUGAGGACACCAUGGAGUUCGGCUGGCUGGACGCGCUGACCUGCCUCGUCUCCAUCGUGACCUUCUACUUUGAGCUUGUGUCCGAUGCGUUGGUCGCCUUUUACCUCUACGAUGACCCCGCCGCCAAGCACUGGUUCAUGGCCUCCGUUGUGCUGCUCGUGGCGCCUCUAGUGUUGGUGAACGGCUUUAGUCUCUACUGGUACUGGUUCGACGAGGUAUGGUGCCAGGAAUCAGCCAAGCAUCCACGCCCGCGACCCUGGCUAUGGGCUGUAAGGAUAGUGGGCCACCUCCUCCUGCAAGCUCCCGUAUUUAGACAACUCGACAUCCUCCACUAUGGCAACAAGAGCUUGGCGGAGACGGUGCUGGAGGAGGCAUCGGUGGACCAAGUGAUGCUGGCGGCCAGUUGCGAAGUCCCUGCCCUCACGCUCACCCCCGCCUCCCCGCCCGCCCAUGUCUGCACCGCCCGCCCACCGCUCCAAGGCUCCACCUCCAUCUUGGUUUGCCGCGCCCACCACCGACGUACAGAAUGCUUCGGGCGUUGGGGCAGCUUCGUGGCUCGCUGGAUUCACGCCGAGAGGGACGCCACCAAUGUUGAGCUCCUGCAGGCGCUGUCCCAAGCCGCGCCGCUCCUCAUCCUCAAUCUGUACGUGAUGACGCGCACCCUCCCCGCGCAGACCCGCAACGGACACUACAGCCAGACACUGGUGGCCCAGAUUUUCUCCGAGUGGUCCUCCCUCCUCACCCUGGCCUGGUCUGUCUCAUCCUUCGUCCGUGCCACCCGCCUCACCGAGCCCAGCCUCUCCAACCUCUCCAUCCUUGACCAGACCCUCCUCACCCUCGCUCACUUCUGCUCCAUUGUGUCACAGGUGAUGAGCUUUGCCCUCUUCGCCUCCCAGCUUGUGAUCUCAUUCUUCAUUGUCGCCACUCUCCACUGGCUGCUCAUGACAUGCUGGGUACUUGUGCAGCUGACAUGUUUCCCCCGCACCACCUGCACACGAGCCUUCUUUGCCCACGACCGGCGACGGGGACUCUGCCACCAGCUGGAUGACAUCUUCUACAGUGGCAUGAUGGGCCUCGUCUUCCUCUUCACCUUUGUCGAUGUCGGUGGAGUCAAAGGAACAAGAACGAAGUCGUUUGUGUAUCAGAUGCUUAUCUUCCUGGAGCAGAUGGUUCUCCUGUCCCUGUGGCUUGUGUGGUCAGGAGGCACAACCUGGUACCACUGGCUGCCCCUGCUGCUGUCCCCUGCCCUCUGCUGCCUCAACCUUGCCUUCAUGGCCUGCUUCUCUGCAUCUGUCAAACCUGAGUACUGUCUACCCCUGGCCAAGCAGGUGUAGUUACAGCAGCAUACAAAAUGAGAUUGUUCAGAUUGGAUGCAGCAGUGUGGUCAACUCAUGCGACACUGGCUGCAAAGCUAUUCAGUUCGCCACUGCCUCUGCUUACCCUGCCAGCUUCGUUCAGGCAUGUGUGUGCGUGUGUGUCAGGUUUGACUGCCACAGCUAGGGAGUCCCUAAGGUGAGGGCAGUGAUGUGACCUCUUUAGGGUAAAGCCUUCAGCUAUGUGAGUACAUAUGUAUAUUACCUGGGAAAGUCAAAGUCAGAGGUUAAGCUUGUAGACUGCUUUCACUAUAAACAGUUGCAUAUAAAGCAUUGAAGACGCUAACAUUGCAUUGUGUAAAAUUGCCUUUAGUCUUGCUUAUACUUCUUGACAGUCAAGCACCCCAACCCUCCUUGACACUACUCAACCUAUGAACGUGUAAUCUAUCAGUGUGCUGAGAAGAGGCAGUCGUUUUGCUGACUGCAUGUGAUUGCAUAUUUUAAAAUUAUACCAAAAACUUAAAUUAUGUAGGAAAUAUUAGAUUAACUAGUCUGCCACUGUGUGUGUGUGUGUGUCAUCUCACCUCAUCCCAUCCCAUUGGUCAUAGACUCACUACAUUCAUGUAUCACAGUCACAUUUCUUUGUAUAAAUCUCUCUCUUAGUGCAGAUGUGGCACUGAAUUGGGCCUACUUCAGAUAAAUCUUUCGAAAGUUCUGCUUUUGGGCACCUGGAACAUCCUCAGCCUCACACUGAUCAUCUCAAAAGGCUGAAGGUGGAUAUAGUGGGACUCUGAGACUAAGGGGCUUUAGCUGGAUCCCUACCUCCUAUUGAGUAAGUACAGACACUGCGGAUUGGCUGUUGGCGGACUGGGUGUCUGACAUCUCCAUCACACUAGUGUAGGAUCAGAAAAUACUCAGUUUCUUGAACUAGCUGAUUUGUCACACAAGGUAGGUAAAUUUUGAUGACAUCAUUGGAUAAAGUAAUGAUUGUACAACAAAAACAUGAUUUUUCAAUCUCGAUAGGGUAAAAAACAAAGUAAAUACGCUGAGUAGGUCAGAAAAUAACAUUGAAUGUUUAUACCACUUUUGACUUGUCAGUGUUUGCAGCAUUUAUAGAUUGUUUUAGAAUCGGGUGAGGCGACAUCCCCUGGCAUAUGCCCCCAUUGAUGAUUUAGAAUAAAACGUUUGUUCUCGUGCAUAAAAUCCAUGUGAAUAUGAUGCCACUCUCCGAUGUUAGAUAAAGUGCAAUAUGAGAGACAAAAGGAUUUGUAAAAAGUGGUAUAAACAUUAAAUGUUAUUCUGACAUUCACCAUAUUUACAUUAUUUUUUACCCCAUUGAGUUCGGAACAUUGUGUUGAGUUGUACAAGCACUGCUUAAGUCAAAGAUAUCAACAAAGUUUGUGUAAUUUAUGUAACAGCUUGGCUAAGUAAAGAAAUAAUUUUCUGAACCUAUGUGACCGUGUUGGGCGAUGGAAACGUCAGACACUGCCCGCCAAUCAGCAGCGUCCUUAUUCCUCGACUAGAAAUCCAGCUGAAGUGAUUGGAUCAUAGUGAUCCUAACAUGAGCAAUGUUAUUAGUCUUAUCUAGGGGGAAACUGUAGACGUGUCCAGUGUGAGUGGGGCUGAAGCACACCUUUGACUUCUUAUCCCUUGUUGCAUAUUGGUUCAUUGUGCACUCAGCACCCUCAAGGACCUUCAAAUGUGAAACUCUCCAAGCUGUAAAGAAGUGCACAAGAGUACCUGGUGGGGUCAAGGAGUGGUUUUGCUUCAGAUGUUGGAGAACAUAGAGGUCACAUUGCCAUGUUUACUGGGAAUUAGGACUGAUAUAAGGCUGUGUCUCAUAGGAUUGGAGAUCUCCUUUGAAGACAGAGGUAUGUCAGGAGUUUUACUGGGACAUAGAGUCAAAAAGGACUCCCAAGUUCUUUAUCAAUCCUUUUGAAAGCUACAAUACAACUCUCCCUCUCAUGUGGGUGCUGUGUAUUAAGCAUGGAUGGGCAGAGGGCUUGUUAUGCUGAGUACUUGGAGCAGCUAUGCCUGGGGAACCCUUUGAGCGGCAGUUUAACUGAUUGAUUACUUUUAGUGGAUGCUGAUUCAUCUAAUGACAAAACCCUACCAUCUCUUGACUUAGUUGGAGAAGCUGUGGCAAGGCUGAGGAGUGGAACUGCCUCUGGAGUUUGUAACUUCAUUGCAGAGCUGUUAUAAGCCUUUGGGGUGGCCAAGAUCCAUGGGUUGCAUUUGAUUUUGACUGACAUACAGAAAUCUGGUACCAUAGGCCAAUCAAAACAGCAAGCAACCCAUGGUUUAUGGUUGCCCUUCUGAUAUUGGGCAGCUUCAGAAUGAUUUAACAAACAUCAGCGGCCACUCCACUACUCAACCUCGCCACAGCUUCUCUAACCUCAUAAAGACAUGUUAGGGUUUUGCCAAUGGGCAACUCAGCAUCAACUAUAAAGGUAACCCAGCAGUUGUAAGCUGCUGCUUGAAGGGUUUGCAAUGCAUAGCUGCUCAAAGUACUGAGCCCAAUGAGCCCUCUACCUAUCCAUGUCUGCCACAAGGUAAUUGUCUGCUGUGCUGUUUGAAUAUCACUUACUUGAGAGUGAGGCUCAUAACAUUCGCUGAUUUUCAGGGAUUGGUAAGCAAGUCAAGAAAUCAUUAACACUGAAAUCACCUUUGACAUCCUUAUUGAGACCCUGACAUAGGCUCUUGUUGUCUCUACAGGCGACAGCCUUAUAUUGGUCCUAAAGGGUGUCAAGCACAUUAAACCAAGUCUUCAGGUUGUCAAGGUCAAAGACAACAAUCAUGUGCUAGUCAUGGUACUUGCCCAUGUUUUGAUCAUGCAGAUUCACAGUAAAUGGCUGAAGUUGCAGAGGCCUGAGGAAUCCAGGUUCAUGCUUGGUCAAUUGACACUGACAUGAGUUUCAACAGGAGAUCGGGUUACUUGUAGCCUAUGUCAUCCUCAAGUUUCAGUGCAUUGUGAGGCACCCUAGAAGCUCCUGCAACCCUGUGGGUUUCCUAGAAGGAUUGUUGGUCUGUUGACUGGCCUGUGCUGUGUGAAAAGUGAGUAUGAGAACAUAUCCAGCUUCUUUCCUAUUAACACAGGAGGCAGGGCUGUAUCCUUGCUCCUUCACCAAGGGAGCAACCACAAAGCUCAUGACUUGAGCAGGCAGUGGAUCUUGCUUUGAGUUAUUUUGUGCUAUCCACACUAUCAGGCAAUGCCCAAUGGGCAAACAUGGUUACCACAUCCCAAUUCACUCCACACGUUUAAAUGGGAUGGGGUGGUGGGGGGAGGGUGGCACUGAUAUGAGGCCAUGCACAAAUGGGGUGGGGGAAGGGGUGGCAGGCCAUGCACAAAUACACAAGUCUCAAACUAAUAGAAACUUGCCCUCUGGCUGCCAUUAAUAUCAUAUUGCUGUUUUGCAUUAUGCCCGAGUGUAUAACCACACACAGGACCUGCCCAAUAAUAUGGAGGCAGCUAAACAACACUGGUUAAGGGAAUCAACCCUUCAAUUAAUACACUCAGCCUCAUAAAUGGGUCUGUCAACACCUGGAUCAACGUAGUUCUUUUGAUCAUGGUCCACACUUAAACACAAGUGAAACGCCCAUCAUAGGAAACUUUUCACAACUUACAGACGGGUAUGCCCAUCAUGAUUUUGCCCAGUAAGUGCACUGCCAAAUAGUGUGAAGUCUGUUGGAAACUGCUCCAUCUGGUAACACUGCUUGAGAAGUGAUUAAAAUACGAUCAGUGCAGUUUACCCAUUAGGCACUGCCAAAUAGUGUGGACAGGGCCUUAGGAUUGGAAGGGGGUCUGCAGGGAAACUUAUAGGGUGGACAAGGCAAUGUGCCCCUUCAGUGUAUGCAUUAACUGACCGACUGCUUUCAGUCCUUACACAGUAGCUUUUGAAUUACUGAGCGCUAGAAUUUUUCAGCAAGACAAAAUGAUAAUGCCACCGAGACAAGUUGUACAAAAGAAAAUAAAUAAAAAACCCAAAACCUGUCUUUCUUUUACAUAAAAUCCUAUCAGAUUAUGUGCUGGCCUGUAUUCAUAUUCCAUGAUGUGAGAAUACUGUUGUUAUGAGUUCUGAACAAAUCCCUUAAUAUAAUAAUCUUUUAUGCAAAACAACUGAAUCAAAAGGGAGUAUUGUAACUAAUUAUCAAAAGCUCAUUCUUGGUACUACUAAAGCAUCUGCCCAGGUCAGUCCAGAUUAGGCACAGGCAGACUGUCGAAAGCUCAACUACAAUUGAAAACUUUAAAAAUGCCUACGGCCAUAAGCAACUGAAAAUUAAUAACUAAUAACUGGAUAAAAAGUCAUGAUCGGAGCACUUUCCCACCUCAGAAGCAAAUUAAUUCAGGCCCUUGUCUUUUGGUUUCUUUUCUUCCUCUAAAUACUGGCAAUUUUUUCUAACAUAUUUGUAAAAAACUUCAAACAAUCAAUUGAUUACCAAAUACAUUAUAAAUUAAUACCAAUCAAGUGAACAACUUUAUAUGGCCCCAAGACCUACCACAGGCCAGCAAGUAAUGUUUAAUAAUGUUCACAUACCAAUGAAAAUACUACAUUCUUGUUCUGUUCACAUUUCCCCUUCCUUCCUCCUUUCUCAAUACCUGGCUAUGGAUGCAAUCCACUCUUUUCUUCCCUCACCUCGAUAUUACAAUAUUCAUGACUAUUCCUACCUCCCUCCUACACUCACUCACAACCUCUAUUUUCCUCUCCUUCCUCUUUUACCCAACCAUAUGUUUAGUAAGCAAGUCACUUGGCAUGUAAUUCUUCAAUAACAUACUAACUCUAAUAUACCCUAUGCAAAUACUUUUUUGCUAGCCCUUAUCGUAUAUUCUCAAAGUUUUCUUCAGCUGCAAGUCUUUCAUAAUUUUCCUCUACAGCCCCACCAUAAUGCCCUCACACGAUACCUUUCCUUCACACCUUAAAUCAAAAUCCCUUCCUUGAUAAUACUUUCAUCAAGGCGACUUUAAUUUUCUUCUGCGCCUCCUGACUUAGCGCUAGGUCUUCAAUUAUUAUACUCCCAUUUCCCCCUCCCAUGCUGCCUGGCCUUCAGUCACUUUAUCUUCUACACUUACAUUUCCUUCUCUUUAUGCCUGCCCCCCAAUCACCAUGUCCUUUAUUUUCACAUUUUCUCCCCCUCUCUUGCUGCCUGACCUUCAAUCACUGGGCCCUUUACAUUUACAUUUCCCCCUCUUAAUGCCUCCCCUUCAAUCACCAUGUCCUCUACACUAACAUUUCCUCCCCUUGCUGCCCAUUCAAUAUCACAUUUUCCAACCUAUCCAUUUCUAAACCUAUUCCUUCAAACCACACAUAUUUUCUCUGGCCUUCAAUCAUGAUCAAUCAACAUAAUAAAUCAUACACCUUGAACUACAUACAACAAAUAAUAUAAAAAUGGUAUACAACUAACUAAACAACUUUAAAUAUAUCACACAACAUUAAACAACACCCAUAAGGGAUUGCAAUGAUGAAUAAAAAACAUACAAAUAUACAUAAAAACCAAAUGCACUUUCACAUCCCUUAAGUAAGAUGCAUGUGAAAAAGUAAAUAAAUAGUUUGUAAAAUGGUACCAAUGUCUCAACACCAGAACUUUGACAUGUAAAAAAAGUGGAGCUGAUUUUUUUUCCAUUCUGGUAUUAAACAAACUUCUGGUACCUCCUCCUCUUCCUUAACAUGACUAUAUAUUAUUAUUACUAUCAUUAUUGCCUUUUGUCUGGUGUUUUAUCUGAGCAAAUCUCUUAACUUUCAUGAUAUGCUCAAUUUUUUUUCUGGCUGCUGUAAUGAAGUAAAAUUUUCACUUCUUUAGGUAUUUCAAUCUGACUCAAUUUGCUUCUCAUACUCAAAUUUGCUUCACUUGAUAGCAAGGAUGAUAUUGCUUCACUAUUUAUAUUGUUAACCUUAAUCUUGUUCCGUUUCAAUUUUACUUGAUUUUUUUCUUGACCUCCCAUUUUUGCUUAUAAGGAAACAAUCAUUCACAGCUCCUGUCAGCCGUAACAUUAAAACACACACACACACACACACACACACACACACACACACACACACACAA